Molecule: unclassified non-coding RNA, 204 nt
Filed under: Melitaea cinxia (Glanville fritillary)
Lineage: Eukaryota; Metazoa; Arthropoda; Insecta; Lepidoptera; Nymphalidae
Description: misc RNA ENSMCXG00005001640.1
Source: RNAcentral
GGCUCAACAAGCAGAAUACAAUAUACUAUAAAAAAUUGAAAUCCAAGAUGGCGGCUGCUACAAAAUGGCGGAUAACGUAGGUUUUAUCGAUCCCAUCAAUAUGGGUAUCAAAUGAAAGUGCUCAACCAGUAUAAUCAAUGUACUAUAUAAAAUUAAAAUCCAAGAUGGCGGUCUCUACAAAAUGGCGGAUAACUUAGGUUUUAU